GACGAACGCUGGCGGCGUGCUUAACACAUGCAAGUCGAACGGUGAAGCGCCUUCCUUUUUGGUGGGUGUGGAUGAGUGGCGAACGGGUGAGUAACACGUGAGUAACCUGCCCCCUUCUUCUGGAUAACCGCAUGAAAGUGUGGCUAAUACGGGAUAUUCUGGGUCUGUCGCAUGAUGGGUCUGGGAAAGAUAUUGUUUCGGUGGGGGAUGGGCUCGCGGCCUAUCAGCUUGUUGGUGGGGUGAUGGCCUACCAAGGCGGUGACGGGUAGCCGGCCUGAGAGGGUGGACGGUCACACUGGGACUGAGACACGGCACAGACUCCUACGGGAGGCAGCAGUGGGGAAUAUUGCACAAUGGGCGAAAGCCUGAUGCAGCGACGCCGCGUGAGGGAUGGAGGCCUUCGGGUUGUGAACCUCUUUCGCCAGUGAAGCAGGCCUGCCUCGUUUGUGGGUGGGUUGACGGUAGCUGGAUAAGAAGCGCCGGCUAACUACGUG
Molecule: ribosomal RNA, 494 nt
Filed under: uncultured bacterium
Lineage: Bacteria
Description: partial 16S ribosomal RNA
Rfam family: Bacterial small subunit ribosomal RNA
Source: RNAcentral